UCCAGACUCCUACGGGAGGCAGCAGUGAGGAAUAUUGGUCAAUGGGCUUACGCCUGAACCAACCAAGUCGCGUGAGGGAAGACUGCCCUAUGGGUUGUAAACCUCUUUUGUCAGGGAGCAACGCCGGCUACGUGUAGACGGACUGAGAGUACCUGAAGAAAAAGCAUCGGCUAACUCCGUGCCAGCAGCCGCGGUAAUACGGAGGAUGCGAGCGUUAUCCGGAUUUAUUGGGUUUAAAGGGUGCGUAGGCGGAAUGCCAAGUCAGCGGUAAAAUCGCGGGGCUCAACCUCGCUCCGCCGUUGAAACUGGCGUUCUUGAGUGGGCGAGAAGUAUGCGGAAUGCGUGGUGUAGCGGUGAAAUGCAUAGAUAUCACGCAGAACUCCGAUUGCGAAGGCAGCAUACCGGCGCCCAACUGACGCUGAAGCACGAAGGCGUGGGUAUCGAACAGGAUUAGAUACCCCCGUA
This 465-nucleotide ribosomal RNA is filed under the name uncultured bacterium. RNAcentral's name for it is "bacterial SSU rRNA". It matches the Rfam family "Bacterial small subunit ribosomal RNA", at positions 330 to 792 of the family's 1533-position model. The record is from RNAcentral.